RNAcentral lists this unclassified non-coding RNA (169 nucleotides) under uncultured Ascomycota. RNAcentral describes it as "sequence contains ITS1". Lineage: Eukaryota; Fungi; Ascomycota. The record is from RNAcentral.
CUGAGUUAUCACAACUCCAAACCCAUGUGAACUUACCAUAUGUUGCCUCGGCGGGAAGACCUACCCGGGACCUACCCGGUAGCUACCCUGUAGCGCGGGUCACCCCGCCGAUGGACCAUCAAACUCUUGUUUUUUGUGGCACUUCUGAGGAUACUAUUAAAAUAAGUCA